Magnolia sinica is the source of this 530-nucleotide long non-coding RNA. RefSeq lists it as uncharacterized. The transcript has 3 exons. The record is from RefSeq and is a predicted model, not a curated record. Lineage: Eukaryota; Viridiplantae; Streptophyta; Magnoliopsida; Magnoliales; Magnoliaceae.
GAUAGAGAGACAGAGAGAGGGAGGAAAGAGAGAUUUGGGUUUUCUUGGAUCUUUCUCAAAUUCUCUUGUAUAUAUUUAUGGGUUUUUUAUUAUAAAAUAAAAGGCCCAAAAAUCUCUUCAAUCUUCUUAUAGUCUCUGUUAUUAUCAUUAAUUAAUUAUAAUUAGAAAAUGAGUGAUCCAAAGUAUGCUUAUCCAUACCCUGCCCAAGGGUAUUAUCAAGGACCUCCUGUGAUGCCACCGCCACAAUAUUAUGCACCUCCACCCAAGAGACAACCAGGCUUUCUUGAAGGAUGCCUUGCAGCUCUUUGUUGUUGCUGCCUCAUCGACGAGUGUUGCUGCGAUCCCUCGAUUAUAUUUGUAAGUUGAUGUAUUUCUAUGUAUGGUAGGAGAUGUUUUAAUGGGACAUUUGAAAAUAACGGUUUGUAUUUAGGGAUUGGACCAUCUCUGUGAUCUUAUCCUUCUCUUGUCUAUGUGAAUAUGAUCGUAUCCUUCUCUUGUAACUUGAAUGGCCAAGAUCUUCCGUUUUCUUA